CCUGCAGUGUUGCCUCCAGAGGAGCACUGUGAGAACAAACUUUAAGCAGCUAUAAAAUGCUUUGAAGACACUAUGGUGGAGAACAGUUGAAAUUUGACACUGGACUGAUUGCAAAUGUAUUUCUAAUGGAUUUUCCCCAGAGAUAUUUCAUCAGAAUCUGGUCUCUUUAGCCUGACUGGAGCCAUGGAAUAGACCUACACAUACUGUUGUAGAGCUUGGUGCUGGAUUAUAAUUUCGUGUCUUGUACUGAUGAUACAUCCUUUUGCCACCCACGUUUGUAACAAAUUCAGCAGCCACUUACAGGAGCCUGACAGACUUCUUCCUUUUCAAGCUACACCAGGUGUGUUCUUGUGGCAAGUUUUUUGGCAAAGAUAUUCCUAAGAGUUUGGGUAAAGCUCCCCAGUUGUCUUGAGGCCAUAUGAAGCAACGAUCUUUGAAGAGAUGAGAAGAAAGACCAAAGUCAAGGUCUGCUCUCCACAGCUAUUGUGAUGCAGCACCCCCUGCACUGGUGAGUAGGUGAUACCUCUUGUCUCUUCCGUUCUGGCUUCUCUCCAUCCCCCUGACCCUCUGGCAGUGCAUCAGAGCUCAGCUUCAGGCUCCAGUACGUCUCAUCUCCUCUUGUAUCAGGUGUCUUCUUAUGUCAUCCUCUCCCUCCAGCUCACAGCUCUACCUGCCUUGAUGUUUCUUUGAUGUGUCCAGCUUAAUCUCAUACCAGAC
Molecule: long non-coding RNA, 717 nt
Filed under: Parus major (Great Tit)
Lineage: Eukaryota; Metazoa; Chordata; Aves; Passeriformes; Paridae
Description: lncRNA (ENSPMJG00000014577.1)
Source: RNAcentral